Molecule: non-coding RNA, 141 nt
Organism: Domibacillus enclensis
Lineage: Bacteria; Bacillati; Bacillota; Bacilli; Caryophanales; Bacillaceae
Source: Rfam
CACAUAUGUACAUUUGUACCGUAGACAGCAGGGGCGUUCGCGCUUAAUCAUCCUGCCGAGGACUAACGAGAUAGAUUAUGCGGCUUUUCCGCUUUUCGUGCCUCCAUGUCUUCCGGGAUAUGGGGGCCUUUUCACGUCUGA